AGAGUGGGAUGGCUAGUUUAUGUUAACAUGGUAUUUGAAACGGAGACCUGGCCAAGUAGGGGAGCACACUGUGUGGUAUCUGGAAGAAGGCAGAGAGAACAGACAAUGCGAAGGUCUUGAGGAAGAGAGGAAGAAGCGCAUUUGAGCUUUGUUUUGUUAGAGCAGUGGUUCUCCAUCAGGAUCCAUCCCCCACCCCACGCCAACCCCUGGAGGACCUUCAGCAACGUCUGCAGGACAACCCCUCCAGAACAAAGCAUAUGCUAACAGUGCUAAGACUGAGAGACCCUGUGUUAAGCACGCAGAAGAAGCCCAUGGAAGAGAGACUGAAGAUGAAGCCAGAGAGGAGGCAGAGACCAAGGCCAUGCAGAACCUUGUAGAUCAUGAAUCACUGCAGUUGAAUGAAUGGCCUGCAUGAAUGGAAAUAGAAGAUGAAGUCAGAAUCAAGCCCAGGGACACUGCUUCACCAAAUCAGAGAGAACGGGUCUUCAAUAUAGGAAGAGACAGCAACAGUAAGUGAUGAAUUUACUUGGAAUGCCAUGUUUCAGAUACCUCAUGCUUGGUAGCUGACUUACCCUGUUAGAACUAAUUUCCUAUAGUGGUCAUGCAGACCUCUGGCCUCUGGAGGUCAGGCCCAUACUUAUUCUGAAAGUUUCAGCCCUUAAUGUUACUCUUCAAAGAGCAUCUCCCUGGUCUUUCAGUAUAAAUUGAAAGCCCUACUAAAAUGUCAGCUCACAGGGAAUAGACAAAACCAGAGAGUAGAUUAUAUUGCUUAAAAAAAUAUAUGUAAAGUAUGACAUGAGAGAUAGAGAGAAACCCUGGAAAACACCAGUAUUUCAAAGGAUAGAGAGGAGGAGGGAAGUUACAGAUUGGUGGCUAAGAUUAUAAUAGCUAACAUUUUCAAGUGAUGGCCAUGUGCCAGGAAUUCCAUUAAGUGUUUCUUCACAUGAUGUAUUUUAUCUAUUCAUGGAAUGUUUAUUUCCAUAAGGUAAAAUGCCGCAUGCUGAUUAUUUCUUGUUAACCAGACAGACACUUUAGGUGUCCUGGAGUCUGUACUACCUGGGGUAGAAAAUACCAAAUAACUAGUUAUACAACCCUAACUGUGAUAACAGUAUAACAGAGAAAUACUGAACCCUGUGAACAGUGAAAUAGGGAGCUCAGCCUAGCCUAAAAUUAGAAAACUCAAGGUUCUGGAAUAUUAGAUUUCUGGAAUAUUAAAAAACUCGAGGAAGUCAGGGUUUGGUAAGGAAAGAGAACACCCUGAGUUUCAUUUGAGGCACACAGAGUUUGUGGAUGCCUGUGAACACAAGUAGGUUUGUAGAUAGAUGGCUGGCUGUGUAGCUCAGAGGACAAGUCUAGCUAGAAAAACUAGUGUAGGAGUCACCAGUGCAGAGGUAAGAACUGAAUCCAUGGACAUGGACAAAAUGACCCAGGGAAAGAAUAAAACAUGAGAAGAGGGUUUCAAGAAACCACAGCCACUUAAAUACUAAAUAAAAAAGGAUGAACCAGAGAAGGU
Molecule: long non-coding RNA, 1513 nt
Organism: Felis catus (domestic cat)
Lineage: Eukaryota; Metazoa; Chordata; Mammalia; Carnivora; Felidae
Exons: 3
Source: RefSeq, a predicted model, not a curated record